CCAAACUGUUGGAGCUCUCUUUCUCCUGAGACAGGAAGGAGUUAAUUUUAAGGAAAUCACAUUUGAUAGAUGGAAGGGACAACAGAGAACAUUUAAUAGUCCAACUCCCUCAUUUUGUGGAAGAGUGAGAAGCAGAGAAAUAAAGUGACUAUGCUAGGGGAAGCAUUUUCCAAAGAGGAGAGACCAGGAUGGAAUGCCAUGAGGUGAAGGGGCUAGAAGAAGAGAAAAAUGGGAAAUCAAAAUUUUGGAAAACUGAAUGUUAAAAUAAAUAAAGUAUAAUGAAAAAGAAACA
Molecule: long non-coding RNA, 292 nt
Filed under: Monodelphis domestica (gray short-tailed opossum)
Lineage: Eukaryota; Metazoa; Chordata; Mammalia; Didelphimorphia; Didelphidae
Description: lncRNA (ENSMODG00000034081.2)
Source: RNAcentral